GACUCUCGGCAACGGAUAUCUCGGCUCUUGCAUCGAUGAAGAACGUAGCGAAAUGCGAUACUUGGUGUGAAUUGCAGAAUCCCGUGAACCAUCGAGUCUUUGAACGCAAGUUGCGCCCGAAGCCGUGAGGCCGAGGGCACGCCUGCCUGGGUGUCACGCAACGUCGCC
Molecule: ribosomal RNA, 168 nt
Filed under: Archidendron xichouense
Lineage: Eukaryota; Viridiplantae; Streptophyta; Magnoliopsida; Fabales; Fabaceae
Description: 5.8S ribosomal RNA
Rfam family: 5.8S ribosomal RNA
About the family: 5.8S ribosomal RNA (5.8S rRNA) is a component of the large subunit of the eukaryotic ribosome. It is transcribed by RNA polymerase I as part of the 45S precursor that also contains 18S and 28S rRNA.
Source: RNAcentral